RNAcentral lists this ribosomal RNA (386 nucleotides) under uncultured Sphingomonadales bacterium. Its description in RNAcentral is "bacterial SSU rRNA". It matches the Rfam family "Bacterial small subunit ribosomal RNA", at positions 1 to 417 of the family's 1533-position model. The record is from RNAcentral. Lineage: Bacteria; Pseudomonadati; Pseudomonadota; Alphaproteobacteria; Sphingomonadales.
UAGUGAGUUUGAUCCUGGCUCAGAACGAACGCUGGCGGCAUGCCUAACACAUGCAAGUCGAACGAGACCUUCGGGUCUAGUGGCGCACGGGUGCGUAACGCGUGGGAAUCUGCCCUUGGGUUCGGAAUAACAGUUAGAAAUGACUGCUAAUACCGGAUGAUGUCUUCGGACCAAAGAUUUAUCGCCUUUAGAUGGGCCCGCGUAGGAUUAGCUAGUUGGUGGGGUAAAGGCCUACCAAGGCGACGAUCCUUAGCUGGUCUGAGAGGAUGAUCAGCCACACUGGGACUGAGACACGGCCCAGACUCCUACGGGGAGGCAGCAGUAGGGAAUAUUGGGGCAAUGGGCGAGAGCCUGACCCAGCCAUGCCGCGUGCCGGAUGAAGGCCC